AGAGUUUGAUCAUGGCUCAGAUUGAACGCUGGCGGCAUGCCUUACACAUGCAAGUCGAACGGCAGCACGGGAGCAAUCCUGGUGGCGAGUGGCGAACGGGUGAGUAAUAUAUCGGAACGUGCCCAGUCGUGGGGGAUAACGUAGAGAAAUUUACGCUAAUACCGCAUACGAUCUAAGGAUGAAAGCGGGGGAUCGCAAGACCUCGCGCGAUUGGAGCGGCUGAUAUCAGAUUAGGUUGUUGGUGAGGUAAAAGCUCACCAAGCCGACGAUCUGUAGCUGGUUUGAGAGAACGACCAGCCACACUGGGACUGAGACACGGCCCAGACUCCUACGGGAGGCAGCAGUGGGGAAUUUUGGACAAUGGGCGAAAGCCUGAUCCAGCAAUGCCGCGUGCAGGAAGAAGGCCUUCGGGUUGUAAACUGCUUUUGUACGGAACGAAAAGGUCUGCCCUAAUACGGCGGGCUCAUGACGGUACCGUAAGAAUAAGCACCGGCUAACUACGUGCCAGCAGCCGCGGUAAUACGUAGGGUGCGAGCGUUAAUCGGAAUUACUGGGCGUAAAGCGUGCGCAGGCGGUUAUAUAAGACAGUUGUGAAAUCCCCGGGCUCAACCUGGGAAUUGCAUCUGUGACUGUAUAGCUAGAGUACGGUAGAGGGGGAUGGAAUUCCGCGUGUAGCAGUGAAAUGCGUAGAUAUGCGGAG
Molecule: ribosomal RNA, 700 nt
Filed under: uncultured bacterium
Lineage: Bacteria
Description: bacterial SSU rRNA
Rfam family: Bacterial small subunit ribosomal RNA
Source: RNAcentral